GAGGACCGAACCGACUAAUGUUGAAAAAUUAGCGGAUGACCUGUGGCUGGGGGUGAAAGGCCAAUCAAACCGGGAGAUAGCUGGUUCUCCCCGAAAGCUAUUUAGGUAGCGCCUCGUGAACUCAUCUUCGGGGGUAGAGCACUGUUUCGGCUAGGGGGCCAUCCCGGCUUACCAACCCGAUGCAAACUGCGAAUACCGGAGAAUGUUAUCACGGGAGACACACGGCGGGUGCUAACGUCCGUCGUGAAGAGGGAA
This 255-nucleotide ribosomal RNA is filed under the name Salmonella enterica subsp. enterica serovar Kentucky. RNAcentral's name for it is "partial 23S ribosomal RNA". It matches the Rfam family "Bacterial large subunit ribosomal RNA", at positions 769 to 1021 of the family's 2925-position model. Lineage: Bacteria; Pseudomonadati; Pseudomonadota; Gammaproteobacteria; Enterobacterales; Enterobacteriaceae. The record is from RNAcentral.